GGCCAGCUGACGAGUCCACAAUAGAACGAAACACGCGUCCUGCGU
Molecule: non-coding RNA, 45 nt
Filed under: Schistosoma curassoni
Lineage: Eukaryota; Metazoa; Platyhelminthes; Trematoda; Strigeidida; Schistosomatidae
Source: RNAcentral